UAUCCGCCAGGGUACUACGAGCAUAGCUUAAAACCCAAAGGACUUGGCGGUGUCUCAGAUCCACCUAGAGGAGCCUGUUCUAGAACCGAUAACCCCCGUUAAACCUCACCACUUCUUGUUAAUCCCGCCUAUAUACCGCCGUCGCCAGCUUACCCUAUGAAGGAAGAACAGUAAGCAAAAUGGACAAAGCCAAAACGUCAGGUCGAGGUGUAGCGCACGAAGUGGGAAGACAUGGGCUACAUUUUCUAUUACAGAAUAUCACGAAUGGUUUACUGAAGCACACACCUGAUGGAGGAUUUAGUAGUAAAAGCAAAUUGAG
RNAcentral lists this ribosomal RNA (319 nucleotides) under Brochis sodalis (false network catfish). Its description in RNAcentral is "Corydoras sodalis partial 12S ribosomal RNA". It matches the Rfam family "Bacterial small subunit ribosomal RNA", at positions 866 to 1353 of the family's 1533-position model. Lineage: Eukaryota; Metazoa; Chordata; Actinopteri; Siluriformes; Callichthyidae. The record is from RNAcentral.